CGUCCUAUUUUUUCCUUAUUUUUAUUUUCCUCUCGUCGCCGAAGUCCCGAAGUCGCGAUCCUCUCGUCGAAGCCCCGAAGCCGCGAUCCUCCUCGACGCCACAUGCCGCACCUGCUCUCCUCUCGCCGAAGCCUCGCGAUCCUCUCCUCGCCGCCACAGCAGUCUCUCGCCGAAGCCUGCUCUCUCUCUCGCCGCGCCUGCUCUCUCUCUCGCCGCAGCGGAUCAAAACUGUGCCCUAGCUCGCCACGAACACGACAGGCUCGUGGCCACGUGUGCCGCCCUCUCUCGAAGUCCUCCCGGUGCGCCAAGACUCGCGGCGACAAGCUAACAGAGGCGUCGCGAAACUAGGGAUCGCAGAAUCGCCUUGCCCUCUCCUGUUGGAGUUUUUGUGAACAAUCAAAAUAUUGAAUUAGGUUUGGUAUCCAGGUUUGCCUCCGCUUUACUUUCUUCUUGAUGUGUUUGGUGACGGGUAAUCUUGUAGGUGAGUUCCAUUCCUUUGAUUGCCCAAGAACUUAUUCGAUCUUUUAGAAACUGUUUUCAGUGUUGCAGGUUCUAGAUCAUGCUCAUCAUUCUCGGUAUGCCAACUUAUUCUUUUGGAGCUCAAAACUGCAGUGUCCCCUCGGCCGCUGGCAAAUUUCUGUUUUCUUUCGACGUGUGCUUCAGCUAGGAGAUUCUCCAAUAUAGCUUGUGGUUGCCCGAAGUUCAGUAACUGAUCGUCGGCCAGAUUCAACCAGUGUAGUCAAAGAUAUCUCCAACAUGUCAAAGAUAUCAACAUUGCCUUGAAAAGCAUCGGCUGCUGUUAAAUCAGAUAGUGACUCCUUCGUUGUUAGGGAAUUGGUAGGUGGUGAAGCUGCCACAUCGAGAUUGGAUUAUGCUUCGAUUACAUAUCCCAUGGAUGGAAUUGCUCCCUCUGCAAAUGUAAACACGGAAAAGUGGCCCAUUGAUUAAAAGCCAUUAUAUACAUUAGGUAUUAGAUUCAAUCAUAGCUUAGUCCAUUAAGUAUUAGAUGCAUUGAUUGGAUCCAUCGAUAUUAUGUUAGUUAGAGCCCUAGAGUUAAUCAUUUGAUGAUUGUAUUAUGGACUUGUUGUAUCAUAUUCUUAUAUAAAUAAAGACAUUUGUUUUGAUUA
Molecule: long non-coding RNA, 1127 nt
Organism: Zingiber officinale
Lineage: Eukaryota; Viridiplantae; Streptophyta; Magnoliopsida; Zingiberales; Zingiberaceae
Exons: 2
Source: RefSeq, a predicted model, not a curated record